RNAcentral lists this ribosomal RNA (274 nucleotides) under uncultured bacterium. RNAcentral describes it as "partial 16S ribosomal RNA". It matches the Rfam family "Bacterial small subunit ribosomal RNA", at positions 523 to 796 of the family's 1533-position model. The record is from RNAcentral.
AUACGGAGGGUGCAAGCGUUAUUCGGAAUCACUGGGCGUAAAGGACGCGUAGGCGGGUUGGCAAGUCAGAUGUGAAAUCCUACAGCUUAACUGUAGAACUGCAUUUGAAACUGCUAACCUAGAGUAUGGGAGGGGGAGAUGGAAUUAGUGGUGUAGGGGUAAAAUCCGUAGAUAUCACUAGGAAUACCGAGAGCGAAGGCGAUCUCCUGGAACAUAACUGACGCUAAGGCGUGAAAGCGUGGGGAGCAAACAGGAUUAGAAACCCCAGUAGUCC